RNAcentral lists this transfer RNA (82 nucleotides) under Rhipicephalus microplus (southern cattle tick). RNAcentral's name for it is "tRNA-Ser". It matches the Rfam family "tRNA". From Rfam's summary of the family: Transfer RNA (tRNA) molecules are approximately 80 nucleotides in length. Their secondary structure includes four short double-helical elements and three loops (D, anti-codon, and T loops). The record is from Rfam by way of RNAcentral. Lineage: Eukaryota; Metazoa; Arthropoda; Arachnida; Ixodida; Ixodidae.
GGCGAGGUGGCCGAGUGGUUAAGGCGAUGGACUGCUAAUUUAUUGGGCUUUGCCCACGUGGGUUCGAGUCCCACCCUCGUUG